This is a long non-coding RNA of Silurus meridionalis, 397 nucleotides long. RefSeq lists it as uncharacterized. NCBI's taxonomy places the organism in Eukaryota, Metazoa, Chordata, Actinopteri, Siluriformes, Siluridae. The transcript has 3 exons. The record is from RefSeq and is a predicted model, not a curated record.
CGAUGAGUGGACGUCUCGUCUGUGGCGGUUUGUCAGCACUGGGGUUUGGCUCUGAAGCUGGAAACACACCUGCUCCUAGUCAGAAGAAAUGGUUGGAUCUGUUUUAUAAGAGGGAGAAAUGUCCAGUGCAGGUCCACGACCAGUCGAAACUUUCCGGUGGACCACAGAAACGUCUUUGUGGAUUCCACCCUCCUAAAGUGUUCAUUUCAGACUUUCAGGUCGUAAGUGUUCCACCUGCUGCAAGUGUUCCACCUGCUUUACUCCACUCCUACUGCUGUAGCGCCCCCUACCUCCACCCCCACAUUAUACAGCCUGCACUUUUAUGUCAUUUAAGAAGACCUUUAUAUGUCAUUAUCAUCAUUAUUAUGUUUAAGUUCAUAAUAUACAAUAUGUGUCU